RNAcentral lists this non-coding RNA (21 nucleotides) under Rattus norvegicus (Norway rat). The record is from RNAcentral. Lineage: Eukaryota; Metazoa; Chordata; Mammalia; Rodentia; Muridae.
GAGCAUUAUUUAUGGACCUGA